GGGGGGACACCAACUACACAGUGGGGCGAACCAUGUGCAGCGCGCGUAGGGGAGAGCGGGGCGGACCAUAUUGAAGGCCCAACGGGGCACCUCGAGGGCUUUGUCACAAGGAAAAGGGAGCAGCCUCACCUCUCUGAUUCACGGGGUCUUUGGCAACAUAGGCGACGUACUCGGCCGUGUCCUGCGGGCGAGACGCCGGCGUGAGACGGGAACGGGGCGCCCGAGAGGCGCCGGAUCGCGGCACGGGGCACGUGUGACCCCCACGUACUCACCGGGUCUCCCCCCGACGCGAAGGAGAUGGACUGCAUGUGGUGGUUGGCGAUGAUCUGCAAGGCAAACCCUCGUUAUCAGCCACCGCGAAAACAACUUGAGGCCACCGAGAGCGGCGUCAAAACCAGGCGACGUUAAUUAAGGUUAAUUAAAUCAGCCUUUUGUAAAAUUGCUUUGUAAGUCCUGUAUCUUGAAACUUCAAUUGAAACUUGUUUUAACUUGUUUUGUAGUGCAUUUGGGUAACAGCGGUAUCUUAUUGUAAAAAGUCA
Long non-coding RNA from Columba livia (rock pigeon), 539 nucleotides. RefSeq lists it as uncharacterized. The record is from RefSeq and is a predicted model, not a curated record. The transcript has 2 exons. NCBI's taxonomy places the organism in Eukaryota, Metazoa, Chordata, Aves, Columbiformes, Columbidae.